RNAcentral lists this small RNA (2063 nucleotides) under Pan troglodytes (chimpanzee). RNAcentral's name for it is "retained intron". The record is from RNAcentral. Lineage: Eukaryota; Metazoa; Chordata; Mammalia; Primates; Hominidae.
GCAGUCCUUAGCUUCCCGGGGACAGGAAACCUUCAACACCGAGCUGCCACGGCCGCCUCCCCGCCCGCCCCCCAUUCUACGCGCCUGCCCACACCCUCCUCCCCUCCUUCCAGCGCCUUUCGGUGGAGCACUGCGGCACUCAGCCCGAGCUGCCGUUUUCCCCUCGCGGGGAACGCUGUGACCCCCCCGCAGGAGCGGCGGGGCGGGGUGGGGGGGCCCGGGAGAAGAUGGCGACGCCGGGAAGCGAACCCCAACCUUUCGUCCCGGCCCUUUCGGUAGCUACUCUGCACCCACUUCAUCAUCCCCACCACCACCACCAUCAGCACCACGGAGGAACCGGCGCCCCCGGCGGGGCGGGUGGUGGCGGCGGUGGUAGCGGGGGCUUCAACCUGCCCUUGAACCGGGGUCUGGAGCGCGCGCUUGAGGAGGCGGCCAACUCCGGGGGGCUGAACCUGAGCGCCAGGAAAUUGAAGGAAUUUCCCCGUACCGCAGCCCCCGGGCACGACCUCUCGGACACGGUGCAGGCAGACUUAUCUAAAAACAGACUGGUUGAAGUUCCAAUGGAAUUGUGCCAUUUUGUAUCACUGGAAAUUCUUAAUCUGUAUCACAACUGUAUCAGAGUCAUUCCUGAGGCCAUCGUUAAUCUGCAGAUGCUGACUUACCUGAACUUGAGUCGAAAUCAGCUGUCUGCCCUGCCUGCCUGCCUGUGUGGUCUGCCUCUCAAAGUCUUAAUCGCAAGUAACAACAAACUUGGAUCAUUACCAGAAGAGAUAGGUCAGCUCAAACAGUUAAUGGAGCUGGAUGUCAGCUGCAACGAGAUCACAGCGUUGCCCCAGCAGAUAGGUCAGUUGAAAUCUCUACGAGAACUGAAUGUCAGAAGAAAUUACCUUAAAGUUUUACCACAAGAACUAGUAGAUCUUCCCUUGGUAAAGUUUGACUUUUCCUGCAACAAAGUGCUCGUGAUUCCAAUUUGUUUUAGAGAGAUGAAGCAGCUGCAAGUGUUACUACUUGAGAAUAACCCUCUGCAGUCUCCUCCAGCACAGAUUUGCACAAAGGGCAAAGUUCACAUAUUUAAGUAUCUGAGCAUACAAGCAUGCCAGAUUAAGACAGCUGACUCCCUUUAUCUCCACACCAUGGAGAGGCCACAUUUACACCAGCACGUGGAAGAUGGCAAGAAGGAUUCUGAUUCGGGAGUUGGAAGUGAUAAUGGAGAUAAGCGAUUAUCUGCCACCGAGCCUUCUGAUGAAGACACUGUUAGCCUCAAUGUGCCAAUGUCAAACAUCAUGGAAGAAGAACAGAUCAUCAAGGAGGACUCGUGCCAUCGCCUUAGCCCCGUUAAAGGGGAAUUUCAUCAGGAAUUUCAACCGGAGUCUUCCCUUUUGGGUGACAGCACCAACUCAGGAGAAGAAAGAGACCAGUUUACUGAUAGAGCAGAUGGUCUCCAUUCGGAAUUUAUGAACUAUAAGGCAAGGGCAGAAGACUGUGAAGAGCUGUUACGGAUAGAAGAGGAUGUGCACUGGCAAACUGAGGGCAUAAUAAGUUCAUCCAAAGAUCAGGACAUGGAUAUAGCAAUGAUCGAGCAGCUGAGAGAAGCAGUAGAUUUGCUGCAAGAUCCCAAUGGAUUAAGCACAGAUAUUACAGAGAGAAGUGUUUUAAACCUAUAUCCUAUGGGAUCAGCAGAAGCCUUAGAAUUACAAGAUUCUGCACUGAAUGGUCAAAUACAGCUGGAGACAUCUCCGGUGUGUGAGGUAAGGCUGCUGGUGGAUUCACCAGAACUCUGUGCAAUAUUUUGCCAUGGAAUACUGGCCACCACAUUCUGUAAAGAUUUGUCAGGGAGUGAAACAUCUUUAUUAAUGAGGCCAAUAUUCAGAUUUGUUCAGGACACAUUUUUCAACUUGUUUAUACGUUUGCCUCUUUAGUUCUGCUUUUCUGCUAUACCUCACCCUCUGUUGAAGAUGAGAGUUGGCUAUUUCUAUUAGAUUCUGUAGAUUUUUUACCUCAGAUCAUCUUGCUGAGUCAAGCGACGGCAACUAAAAUACAUAGGGAAUCUGCCUGUGUGUCAG